This 246-nucleotide ribosomal RNA is filed under the name uncultured bacterium. RNAcentral describes it as "partial 16S ribosomal RNA". It matches the Rfam family "Bacterial small subunit ribosomal RNA", at positions 527 to 772 of the family's 1533-position model. The record is from RNAcentral.
GGAGGAUCCAAGCGUUAUCCGGAUUUAUUGGGUUUAAAGGGUGCGUAGGCGGUUUGAUAAGUUAGAGGUGAAAUACCGGGGCUUAACUCCGGAACUGCCUCUAAUACUGUUGAACUAGAGAGUAGUUGCGGUAGGCGGAAUGUAUGGUGUAGCGGUGAAAUGCUUAGAGAUCAUACAGAACACCGAUUGCGAAGGCAGCUUACCAAGCUACUUCUGACGUUGAGGCACGAAAGCGUGGGGAGCAAA